GGGGAUUUGGCUCAGUGGUAGAGCACUUGCCUAGGAAGCACAAAGUCCUGGGUUCGAUCCCCAGCCCUG
Molecule: transfer RNA, 69 nt
Filed under: Rattus norvegicus (Norway rat)
Lineage: Eukaryota; Metazoa; Chordata; Mammalia; Rodentia; Muridae
Rfam family: tRNA
About the family: Transfer RNA (tRNA) molecules are approximately 80 nucleotides in length.
Source: Rfam by way of RNAcentral